AAAAAGCUGACUCAGAUUGGAACGGUGGAGCUGAAUCACGGAACCGGAAUUCGUAUGAUACACGCGCCAGGAGAGAGCGUGGGCGUUUUAUCUAUUUAAUACCAGGUUGCCCUAUAAAUGGCGGGAGCCUCCCGUCUGUCGAAAUUUCCCGCACCCAAUCAUCUAUCUCAGUCUCUCCUCCUUCUCCCUUUCGCGUCCAGCUUUUCCACUAUUCACUCCACCUUCCAAAACCCCCCAUUUAUCCCCAAAACCCUCAAUCAGCGUAACGGAAAGUUCACCUGAGGUAUCCAUUGCUCAUCAACACUAACUGUCCGUUAUCAUUCGAGUCCAUUAACCCAUAAAUUUUGCAAUUCUAGGGUUUCCUUUGUGUUCCUUAAAAAACCCUAGUUUUUGUUUUCUUUUUAUUUUUUUCCUUUGGUAUAGGGAGGAGUUGGUGAAGCAGCGUUGAAGUAUUUGAUCUGAAUGGAGGCUGCGGCCGGUGUCGCCGCCACACGCGGCGGUUCUCUGCCGAUGCCUUCGUCCUCAUCGCGGAAGGAGUGGCGCGCCGUUUCAGAGCACCAUACGGGUCGAAACACUGGGGACGAGGUGGUAAUUUACUGCACAUGCGUUUGCAUUUGGUUUUUGUUUGGUUGAGAAGAGAAUGUAGUCUAAUGGUUGAAAUUGAUGCAUCAAAUCUGGGUUUUCUUUUAACGAUUGAGGACCGGGGGAAAAGAAAAAAAGAUUAUGGCGUUAGUUUGGUGACAAUCGGUUCACGCUUUUAGGUCUCUUUUCUUUUCUUUUUUUUUCGGCGGCUCUAUUUAUUGUGAACAAUUGGAAUCUCGCGCCCCAUAAAGUUACACAAAUUGUCUAUUGUUGUUAUUGUAUCCUUUGGGGUAUUUCCUCAUUUUUCUCAGUAAGCCGAAGUAGGCACAGUUUGUUAGCUGACAGAGAUUGACGGGACUUCACCCUGGUGAUUGGAACUUGCCUAUUCAUUGGUUGCUUUGAAGUUAGGAUCAUAGAGAAUAAGAAGCGAAUAACUUUAUCU
Molecule: long non-coding RNA, 1024 nt
Filed under: Carica papaya (papaya)
Lineage: Eukaryota; Viridiplantae; Streptophyta; Magnoliopsida; Brassicales; Caricaceae
Description: long non-coding RNA (CPAP_LNC012606)
Source: RNAcentral